GGAUGUAGCUCAGUUGGUAGAGUACUUGCUUUGCAUGCACAAGCCCCUGGGUUCAAUACCCAGCACCA
Molecule: transfer RNA, 68 nt
Filed under: Marmota monax (woodchuck)
Lineage: Eukaryota; Metazoa; Chordata; Mammalia; Rodentia; Sciuridae
Description: tRNA.Ala
Rfam family: tRNA
About the family: Transfer RNA (tRNA) molecules are approximately 80 nucleotides in length.
Source: RNAcentral